GCAGAGUAGGGAACCGCGCGUGGGGCGUUUUGCCCCGGAGUGCCUGACCAACGGGGAGUUGUGGCAGGACGAAGCGACCGGCAUGGUCCGCGGUGCGGCGCCCGCAUCCCGCUGC
RNAcentral lists this non-coding RNA (115 nucleotides) under uncultured Gemmiger sp. RNAcentral describes it as "THF riboswitch". It matches the Rfam family "THF (Tetrahydrofolate) riboswitch aptamer". Rfam says of the family: THF riboswitch presents a pseudoknot that joins P1-P2 and the loop of P3 and two THF binding. Lineage: Bacteria; Bacillati; Bacillota; Clostridia; Eubacteriales; Oscillospiraceae. The record is from RNAcentral.